Molecule: unclassified non-coding RNA, 378 nt
Filed under: plant metagenome
Description: partial contains 5.8S ribosomal RNA, internal transcribed spacer 2, and large subunit ribosomal RNA
Rfam family: 5.8S ribosomal RNA (bases 1-105)
Source: RNAcentral
GAAAUGCGAUAAGUAAUGUGAAUUGCAGAAUUCAGUGAAUCAUCGAAUCUUUGAACGCACCUUGCGCUCCUUGGUAUUCCUUGGAGCAUGCCUGUUUGAGUAUCAUGAAAUCUUCAAAGUAAAUCUUUUGUUAACUCAAUUGGUUUCUACUUUGGUAUUGGAGGUCUUUGCAGCUUCCCACCUGCUCCUCUUUGUUCAUUAGCUGGAUCUCAGUGUUAUGCUUGGUUCAACUCGGCGUGAUAAGUUAUCUAUCGCUGAGGACACUGUAAAAGGUGGCCAAGGUAAAUGCAGAUGAACCGCUUCUAAUAGUCCAUUGACUUGGACAAUACUUUUAUGAUCUGAUCUCAAAUCAGGUAGGACUACCCGCUGAACUUAAGC